Long non-coding RNA from Betta splendens (Siamese fighting fish), 2231 nucleotides. The record is from Ensembl. Lineage: Eukaryota; Metazoa; Chordata; Actinopteri; Anabantiformes; Osphronemidae.
UACCUCUAACCAUAAACCACACACACACACACACACACACACACACACACACACACACACACACACACACACACACACACACACACACACACACACACACACACGCUUUAAAUACCGUAUGACUUACAUACAGACUCUAUUUCACUCAGUGACACAUCAUGGGAUGCUCAGGGCUGUUGAUUUUGGGUCUUGUCCUGAAUGUUGCUCACUGCCUGGAAACUCUGGGACAGAGUGACAUGAUUAUUGAGAGCAAGGAAAGCAUCACGGCAGUUCUGGGAGACGAUACCUACUUGAGCUGUAGAUAUCUGGGCGGGAGUCAGAUCCAAAAGGCCGCAUGGAAACGCCAGGUUAACUCCAUAUUCAAAUCCAGGGCGCUGGCAGGAAUUUCAGGGAAAGGGCCGUUUGGGAACGCGGUGCUCUCAGAACCAGAGUCUCUCACCAACCUGACAGUCAAGAUGAACGUGUCCGGUGUGGAGUUGGAGGGAGAGUAUAUCUGUGAGUUUGAAUCGGAGGAAGAGGAUUCUUUCGCUAGCAGAACCUUUGUCACCAUCCUGGUUCGGCCUAUUAUACAGGUUCUAGUGGAUGCAGAGACCAUCAACGGCACCCACUACCAGUCGGUGUCGUGCUCUGCCAUCGGUGGCCGCCCCCCCCCACAGAUCCGCUGGCUGAUCGAUGGCCUUCCUGUCACACACCACCUCUUCACUGUCAACGCAAGUACAGCCGCUCACUCGAACGGAACCUCCACCCUGAGCAGCGUCCUCCGCUUCCCCACCCACCUGCAGGACGACGACCGCGUGACCUGCGAGGUUCAACACCCGACCCUCCCAAGCCCCGCGCUCACCACAGUCAGGGUGGAAACCUACGCGAGGCCGAACGUGAGCAUUGAGGCGGCGAUGGUGCAGCGGGGAGGAACUGAGUUCUGGGUGGUCUCCUGCCUUUCGUCUGGAGGGAGACCUGACGCUGACAUCUCCUUGGCUUUGAACACCGACGAUGAGCUGCGGCGAGAGAACAACACAGACUCAGACGCACAGAGGAGCUCUGUUUACCUCCCUGCGACACGGUACGAAGGCCACAAUGUCACCUGUGCGUUCGUUCAUCCCAAAUUCACACACCCAGAGACGCGAGUCAAAACGCUGCCCUCUUUUUACCUGACUGGAGCUCGGCUGAUGGACUCAGGAAUCAAAAACGGUGACCUUCAAGGCAGCGACUGGUUGAAGCUGCAGGAGGGACAGAGGGACGUUGUCAUCGGCCUGCAGGUCACUGGAAAUGUGCCGCGUUACAAUGUCACCUGCAAAAAGGACGACGGCCUCUUACCGGACGGCGUUGAGCUGGUUGACGGCCGCCUCGCGGUUCAGGGUCCGGUGGAGCAUCGCCAAGCGGGCCCGUAUGAGUGCACCUUCUCCUAUCACCACCAUAGAGCAACGCUGCACUUUAACAUCACGGUGAACCCUCGACCUGCUCGGCUCGUGGAACCCGCCAUAGAAGCGUACUGGUGGAGAGACGGCGGACGCAGGGUGAUUGAGUGCUCAGCAGCUGAUGCUGUUCCUGCAGCCAACAUGUCCUGGCUGCUACCAGAGGGUGUGUCUGGAGACUCUUGGUUCAAUUUCACUUCUCAUAAUGGAAGCCAGUCUGUGAGGGGAGUGUUCCUCCUCCCCGCCUGCCUGCCCUGGGAGCUCACUGCAGUGUGUGUGAUAAAUCACGCAGCUUUUGAGAAGCCAGAAAACAGAAGCAUAACACUCCCUAUGUGCGGUACUGUAUGUUCUACUGAGAGAUGCCUUUGUCUGACUAGUGGCCAUAGGUUUCAUCUCACUUCCUGCGCUUCGACUCCCGUUUCCAACACAGCUCGCCCCAACGUCACCGUCAACUCCAGCACAGACUGGAAAGACGGCGAGAGGUUCACAACGGUGCAGUGCUCUGCACACAGCGUGGCCCCCGCAGCAGCUCUAACCUGGCGCGUGGGGGGCGGUGAUGACAUCAUCAGCGGUCUGACGGAGACCGACGUGCGGGAUGAGAGUUUGGUUUGCGUUCGUAGCUCCGUGCGGUUCUCGUCCGCCGCGUACGCUGGUCGGAAUGUGACCUGCGUGGUGCAGCAUCCGAGCCUGGAGCAGCCGGAGAACAGAAGCAUACACAUCCCUGUGCACAGUACGUCCUGUGUGUGUGUGUGUGUGUGUGUGUGUGUGUGUGUGUGUGUGUGUGUGUGUGUGUGUGUGUGUGUGUGUGUGUGUGUGUGA